ACCUGCAUUGCUUAUUCAUGUCUCCUGCGUUUAUUUGGUUAACAAAAUCUAGGUUUUGCGGAUGUGAAGAGUCACAGUUCGCAGAAUUUCAGACACUGCAAGCACUUUGCCCUCUGCAUUUUAUUGAGGAGCAAGAUUGGAGAAGAAGAUGCUUUGUAAAGAGCAAGAUGAUGUGGAUGAAGACUGAAGUUGGAGGAAGAACUGAAGAUGUGUGGUUCAACAUCUUCCCUGACAAGAUUCGAAUUAUCAGGCCAAACCAAUCUGGUUAGCCAAACACAUGAUUGAAUUAUCAGGCCAAACCAAUCUUGUUGCAAACAUAUAGUGCUAAGUUCAGUUAUGCCUUUGGUUUGAUUACAGAUAAAAAGGAACUAGGAUACUGAAGUUUUAUUCACACCUGAUAACCCAAUUGAAUAGAGUUAUGAUACUGAAACAUUCCAACCAAUUUAAGUGCUUUCAUAUCCAAUAACUGGCAUCGCAAAACCUGCAAUAGGAAUAAUAAUAAGCACAAGCUAGCUACUAUUCUAAAACCACAAUUGAAUAUCAUAACCAUGAAUGCUGUCUUGAUACUACCCCAUGAACCAUUUGAUAAUCUUAUUUGUCAAGCAGGUAAGAGAAUACUCGAGGACAAUGGCUUGUACAGAAGUUUCAUUCACAAAUAUAUGCAUCUCAGAACAACACAUUAAGACCUAACACAGUUAAUCAUCAUUCUUACACAGGCCCUAUUUUCUGACUACAGACAUAACAACCUUCAAUAAGUUUCACUAGAUGCUCAUCAAAUCAUUAUACCCAACAAGAUUAUGGUCAGAAUUUGAUGCUCCAUAUGUCACAGAACAUAUCUCAUUCUUUAAAUGCCUGAACCCAAAUGAGUAUAGGUGAAGGGAACGGAAACAUCAAGUGCACUACACCGUAGAUAGUAACAGCAAAUAAAUGGGUUCCUCAAAUUAGCAUCACACCAGUAUGAUGAAGAACUGACCCAAUCUAUAAGAAUGAUGGCAAAACAAUCAACGACAACCCAAAUUAGUAUGAUGAAGAAGAUGAAGAUUUUUGAGAGCUCGACUCCGAACUUAAUUUACCAAUCAACUUCUUGGCAGACAUCUUCGUCUGAAGGAAACUGCUGAUCACUGAAUCGAAGACCACCAUCGUCAAGUUCAGGGUCGACAUUCAUCCUGUCAUUCGAUUGAUAUUAAACAACAACCACGAA
This 1201-nucleotide long non-coding RNA is filed under the name Fragaria vesca (wild strawberry). RNAcentral describes it as "long non-coding RNA (FVES_LNC004708)". The record is from RNAcentral. Lineage: Eukaryota; Viridiplantae; Streptophyta; Magnoliopsida; Rosales; Rosaceae.